Molecule: transfer RNA, 73 nt
Filed under: Poecilia formosa (Amazon molly)
Lineage: Eukaryota; Metazoa; Chordata; Actinopteri; Cyprinodontiformes; Poeciliidae
Rfam family: tRNA
About the family: Transfer RNA (tRNA) molecules are approximately 80 nucleotides in length.
Source: Rfam by way of RNAcentral
GUCUCUGUAGUGUAAUGGUUAUCACAUUUGCGUCACACACAAAAGGUCUCUGGUUCAAAACCAGACACAAACA